GCGGCUGAGUGACAUGAAAUCGUCCUGGCUCGUCUGGUUUCGACUCCCAGCCCUGGCUAUCGUUGCCUGAAGAGCUGCCAACCAGGCUGGCACAGCUGAUGCUCCUGACUCCUGCACUGAUCCUGUGUCUCCAGCAUGGCCGCCUGUCAGCCUCUGACUUCACUCUUUCCUUUAAGCUGCUAAAACCUGUGCCAGAGCAGCAGGUACAUGUAAUCAGUAACGAUGAGCCAGAAUCAGUGAAGGUCCAGGAUGCAGAAAGGCAUGGAUUAAUGAGGCUCAGAGGGUAAAAGGCAGAGAUGGAUGGAGAAUGCUCAAGACGUACGAUGGAAAAAAAAAAAAAAAGAGAGAGCAGCGGACGGAAGAGACAAUAAAAUGACAAGAAAGAAAAGUGGUGACUUAAAAACAUCAGGAGAUAAGCAUGCAGAAGAGAGGAAAGAAGAGGAGGAGCGAACGGAGGAGGAAAAGGAAGCGAGAGAGACGCAGAGCAGCUUCCUCUGCAGCCAUCCAUCCUCAUGAAGAGGAGCCUGUUGGAAGCUGUCUCAUUAACCGCUGAACACACACAUCCUCCCUUAGGUGCAUCGCUAUAACAAUGAUGAGCAGUGUAUCAUCGUAAUCACUCUCUCUUUCUCACACACACACACACACACACACACACACACACACACACACACACACACCUUCACAGGUGAAAGCUGUGACAGCGGUAACGAGCGAGCUAAUCCUUGUUCUCCAAUUCCCAUGUAGAGAUGUGAAAUCUGUGUGGGAAAUAUUUGUGUGAAAUAAAAUGACAAACUUUCUCCAUCUGUUAACAGCAUGAUGAGCCAGUCUGAAACCAAGAAAAUGCAUUCCUCAUGUUUACUCGUGACCUCAUCACAGCAGCUGCGGUGUGUGUGCGUUUGCUCCGAGCAGCUACAGCUUCCUGCUGAGCUGUCAUGAAGACGCUGUGUGGGUAUGACAUGAAGGUAGAGGUGCUCACCUGAUCAAGAAUCUGACAUACGUGUUACUGCUCGACAAGGGAGGCUUUCUGCUGGUGGUGUUAAGAGCUUAAUUGUGCAAAUAAAAUACAU
This is a non-coding RNA of Labrus bergylta (ballan wrasse), 1067 nucleotides long. The record is from RefSeq and is a predicted model, not a curated record. Lineage: Eukaryota; Metazoa; Chordata; Actinopteri; Labriformes; Labridae.